UCCUUAAGUUCCUCAUCUUCAUUUGCAUUUUGUCAGAUUUGUAUAGUAAAUCAGGCUUGACCUGAGAGAUGUUCUGAGAAAAGCCAUUCUGGAGGUACCAUGAAUUUCCUAAGGGUGGAGACUGAAGCUGCUUAGAGAAAUACAAAUAAAAGGAGGGAUGGAUGCCCUUGUCAUAUCUGACCAUCACAUGUAUCUGGUUAAUGAUCUUUAACAAACAAGAUGGAGGAACUCUCUUAUCUGUUCUUACUUUUGGGUGUCUUUUCCAUUCAGGGGAGUUCAGAAAACUUGAAAGAGAAUUUGGCAUUAAAAGGAAAGGCUGUACAGUCAUCCAUAGCUAAUGCUGGUGGAGCUGAAAAUGCCAUCGAUGGCAUCAAAUAUUCUCCUUCAGGAAAACCCUAUCCACAAGAAACCUAUAAAUACUGCUCCC
Molecule: long non-coding RNA, 427 nt
Organism: Carassius auratus (goldfish)
Lineage: Eukaryota; Metazoa; Chordata; Actinopteri; Cypriniformes; Cyprinidae
Exons: 3
Source: RefSeq, a predicted model, not a curated record